Molecule: ribosomal RNA, 422 nt
Filed under: uncultured prokaryote
Description: bacterial SSU rRNA
Rfam family: Bacterial small subunit ribosomal RNA
Source: RNAcentral
UGAGGAAUAUUGGUCAAUGGGUGCAAGCCUGAACCAGCCAUCCCGCGUGAAGGACGACUGCCCUAAGGGUUGUAAACUUCUUUUGUAUAGGGAUAAACCUUUCCACGUGUGGAAAGCUGAAGGUACUAUACGAAUAAGCACCGGCUAACUCCGUGCCAGCAGCCGCGGUAAUACGGAGGGUGCAAGCGUUAUCCGGAUUUAUUGGGUUUAAAGGGUCCGUAGGCGGACUUAUAAGUCAGUGGUGAAAGCCUGUCGCUUAACGAUAGAACUGCCAUUGAUACUGUAAGUCUUGAGUAUAAUUGAGGUAGCUGGAAUAAGUAGUGUAGCGGUGAAAUGCAUAGAUAUUACUUAGAACACCAAUUGCGAAGGCAGGUUACCAAGAUAUAACUGACGCUGAGGGACGAAAGCGUGGGGAGCGAACA